GCUGUAAUAGCUCAACGGAAGAGCAAUCGGCUUAUAUUAUAACCGAUAGACGAUAGUUCGACACUAUCUUACAGUACCA
This 79-nucleotide transfer RNA is filed under the name Siphoviridae sp. ctrCN24. RNAcentral's name for it is "tRNA-Ile". It matches the Rfam family "tRNA". From Rfam's summary of the family: Transfer RNA (tRNA) molecules are approximately 80 nucleotides in length. Their secondary structure includes four short double-helical elements and three loops (D, anti-codon, and T loops). Further hydrogen bonds mediate the characteristic L-shaped molecular structure. tRNAs have two regions of fundamental functional importance: the anti-codon, which is responsible for specific mRNA codon recognition, and the 3' end, to which the tRNAs corresponding amino acid is attached (by aminoacyl-tRNA synthetases). tRNAs cope with the degeneracy of the genetic code in two manners: having more than one tRNA (with a specific anti-codon) for a particular amino acid; and 'wobble' base-pairing, i.e. permitting non-standard base-pairing at the 3rd anti-codon position. Lineage: Duplodnaviria; Heunggongvirae; Uroviricota; Caudoviricetes. The record is from RNAcentral.